AGCUGAGUUUGAUCCUGGCUCAGGACGAACGCUUGCGGCGUGCCUAAGAAAUGCAAGUCGAACGGGGACUUCGGUCCUAGUGGCGAACGGUCGCGUAACACGUAAGCAACCUGCCCUGAAGUGGGGACAACAUCCCGAAAGGGUGCUAAUACCGCAUGUGGUCACGAGUCGGCAUCGACUUGUGUCUAAAGAUUUAUCGCUUCAGGAUGGGCUUGCGGCCUAUCAGGUAGUUGGUGGGUAAUGGCCUACCAAGCCGACGAUCCAUAGCUGGUUUGAGAGGAUGAUCAGCCACACUGGGACUGAGACACGGCCAGACUCCUACGGGAGCAGCAGUGGGGAAUAUUGGGCAAGUGGAGAACUCUGACCAGCGACGCCGCGUGC
This 381-nucleotide ribosomal RNA is filed under the name uncultured Armatimonadota bacterium. RNAcentral's name for it is "bacterial SSU rRNA". It matches the Rfam family "Bacterial small subunit ribosomal RNA", at positions 1 to 404 of the family's 1533-position model. Lineage: Bacteria; Bacillati; Armatimonadota. The record is from RNAcentral.